RNAcentral lists this ribosomal RNA (1014 nucleotides) under uncultured Chlorophyceae. Its description in RNAcentral is "partial Bacterial large subunit ribosomal RNA". It matches the Rfam family "Bacterial large subunit ribosomal RNA", at positions 241 to 1306 of the family's 2925-position model. Lineage: Eukaryota; Viridiplantae; Chlorophyta; Chlorophyceae. The record is from RNAcentral.
UAGUAGCGGCGAGCGAACGGGGAGCAGCCCUUAAGCUGUUUAGAAUUUAGUGGAAUCCUUUGGGAAGAGGAGCGAUACAAGGUGAUAGCCCUGUACACGACGGAUUCUUUACAGUGAAAUCGAGUAGGUCGGGACACGUGUUAUCUUGACUGAAUGUGGGGGGACCAUCCUCCAAGGCUAAAUACUACUAACUGACCGAUAGUGAACCAGUACCGUGAGGGAAAGGCGAAAAGAACCCCUGUGAGGGGAGUGAAAUAGAUCCUGAAACCGUAUGCGUACAAGCAGUCGGAGCGGACUUGUUCCGUGACGGCGUACCUUUUGUAUAAUGGGUCAUCGACUUGGUCUAUCUAGCAAGCUUAAGCCGUUAGGUGUAGGCGCAGCGAAAGCGAGUCUUAAUAGGGCGAAUGAGUUAGGUGGAUCAGACCCGAAACCGAGUGAUCUAGGCAUGGCCAGGUUGAAGGUAAGGUAACACUUACUGGAGGACCGAACCCACAUCUGUUGAAAAAGAUCGGGAUGAGCUGUGCCUAGGGGUGAAAGGCCAAUCAAACUCGGAGAUAGCUGGUUCUCUGCGAAAUCUAUUUAGGUAGAGCGUCAUCCGAAUACCCUCGGGGGUAGAGCACUGGAUGGGUAAUGGGGCCCCACAGGCUUACUGAUCCUAACCAAACUCCGAAUACCGAGGAGUACUAGAUGGCAGACACACUGCGGAUGCUAACGUCCGUAGUGGAGAGGGAAACAACCCUGACCUACAGCUAAGGCCCCCAAUUCAUGGCUAAGUGGGAAAGCAGGUGGGACGACCAAAACAACCAGGAGGUUGGCUUAGAAGCAGCCACCCUUUAAAGAAAGCGUAAUAGCUCACUGGUCGAGUCGGCCUGCGCGGAAGAUGUAACGGGGCUAAACUGGUAACCGAAGCUGUGGAUGCGUGUUUACACGCAUGGUAGAGGAGCGUUCUGUACGCUGUUGAAGGUGAAUCGAGAGGUUUGCUGGAGGUAUCAGAAGUGCGAAUGCUGACAUGAG